RNAcentral lists this transfer RNA (93 nucleotides) under Thomasclavelia ramosa. Its description in RNAcentral is "tRNA-Ser". It matches the Rfam family "tRNA". Rfam says of the family: Transfer RNA (tRNA) molecules are approximately 80 nucleotides in length. The record is from RNAcentral. RNAcentral also lists the same sequence under 2 other names. Lineage: Bacteria; Bacillati; Bacillota; Erysipelotrichia; Erysipelotrichales; Coprobacillaceae.
GGAGGAAUACCCAAGUCUGGCUGAAGGGAUCGGUCUUGAAAACCGACAGGAGUGUAAAAGCUCGCAGGGGUUCGAAUCCCCUUUCCUCCUCCA